CGUCUCAUGGCGUAGUGGUAACGCGCCCCAACUAGAGAUCGGGGAGUCGUGAGUUCGAUUCUCACUAAGAAGA
RNAcentral lists this transfer RNA (73 nucleotides) under Aedes aegypti (yellow fever mosquito). It matches the Rfam family "tRNA". Rfam says of the family: Transfer RNA (tRNA) molecules are approximately 80 nucleotides in length. Their secondary structure includes four short double-helical elements and three loops (D, anti-codon, and T loops). Lineage: Eukaryota; Metazoa; Arthropoda; Insecta; Diptera; Culicidae. The record is from Rfam by way of RNAcentral.